AGAGUUUGAUCCUGGCUCAGGAUGAACGCUGGCGGCGUGCUUAAUACAUGCAAGUCGAACGGAGAAUUAGCAAUAAUUCUUAGUGGCGAACGGGUGAGUAACACGUUGGUGACCUACCCCAAAGUGUGGGAUAACAGUCCGAAAGGAUUGCUAAUACCGCAUGUGGUUAUCGGAUUUAGAAACUGAUAACAAAAGCAGUAAUGCGCUUUGGGAGGGACCUGCGUCCCAUCAGCUAGUUGGUGAGGUAACGGCCCACCAAGGCUACGACGGGUAAGGGACCUGAGAGGGUGGUCCCUCACAAUGGCACUGAAACACGGGCCAUACACCUACGGGUGGCAGCAGUAGGGAAUAUUGGGCAAUGGGCGAAAGCCUGACCCAGCAACGCCGCGUGCACGAUGAAGGCCUUCGGGUCGUAAAGUGCUUUUCUGAGAGAUGAGAAAGGACAGUAUCUCAGGAAUAAGCCUCGGCUAACUACGUGCCAGCAGCCGCGGUAAAACGUAGGAGGCGAGCGUUAUCCGGAUUUACUGGGCGUAAAGCGCGUGUAGGCGGUUCGGCAAGUUGGAUGUGAAAUCUCCCGGCUCAACUGGGAGGGGUCGUUCAAAACUACCGGACUUGAGGACAGUAGAGGAAGGUGGAAUUCCCGGUGUAGUGGUGAAAUGCGUAGAUAUCGGGAGGAACACCAGUGGCGAAAGCGGCCUUCUGGACUGGUCCUGACGCUGAGACGCGAAAGCUAGGGUAGCGAACGGGAUUAGAGACCCCGGUAGUCCUAGCCGUAAACGAUGUAGACUUGGCGUCGGUGGGUUCAAAGCCAUCGGUGCCGAAGCUAACGCGAUAAGUCUACCGCCUGGGGACUACGGCCGCAAGGUUAAAACUCAAAGGAAUUGACGGGGGCCCGCACAAGCAGCGGAGCGUGUGGUUUAAUUCGAUUUACACGAAGAACCUUACCCAGGUUUGACAUGUUGGUGGUAGGAAUUCGAAAGAUGACCGACCCUUCGGGGAGCCUUCACAGGUGCUGCAUGGCUGUCGUCAGCUCGUGUCGUGAGAUGUUCGGUUAAGUCCGCUAACGAGCGCAACCCUCGCUACGUGUUAUAUGUGUCACGUGGGACCGCCGGUAUCAAGCCGGAGGAAGGUGGGGAUGACGUCAAGUCAGCAUGGCCUUUAUGUCUGGGGCUACACACACGCUACAAUGGCCGGUACAAUGGGUUGCUAAGCCGCGAGGUAGAGCCAAUCCCCAAAGCCGGUCUCAGUUCAGAUCACAGGCUGCAACCCGCCUGUGUGAAGUCGGAGUUGCUAGUAAACGCGCGUCAGCCAUAGUGCGUUGAAUACGUUCUCGGGCCUUGUACACACCGCCCGUCACGUCAUGGGAGCUGGUAACACCUGAAGCCGGUAGCCUAACCGUAAGGAGGGCGCUGUCGAAGGUGGUGCUGGUGACUGGGACGAAGUCGUAACAAGGUA
This 1455-nucleotide ribosomal RNA is filed under the name metagenome. RNAcentral describes it as "bacterial SSU rRNA". It matches the Rfam family "Bacterial small subunit ribosomal RNA". The record is from RNAcentral.